This 253-nucleotide ribosomal RNA is filed under the name uncultured bacterium. Its description in RNAcentral is "partial 16S ribosomal RNA". It matches the Rfam family "Bacterial small subunit ribosomal RNA", at positions 524 to 776 of the family's 1533-position model. The record is from RNAcentral.
UACAGAGGUAGCAAGCGUUGUCCGGAUUCACUGGGUGUAAAGGGCUUGUAGGUGGCCAACUAAGUCAGAUGUAAAAUCGUACUGCUCAACAGUACAACCGCAUUUGAAACUGAUUGGCUUGAGUGCAGGAGGGGAAGGUGGAAUUUUCGGUGUAGCGGUGAAAUGCGUAGAUAUCGAAAAGAACACCAGUGGCGAAGGCGGCCUUCUAGCCUGCAACUGACACUGAAAAGCGAAAGCCAGGGGAGCAAACGGG